UACGUAGGGGGCAAGCGUUGUCCGGAAUCAUUGGGCGUAAAGAGCGUGUAGGCGGCCCGGUAAGUCCGCUGUGAAAGUCCAGGGCUCAACCCUGGAAUGCCGGUGGAAACUGUCGGGCUAGAGUCCGGAAGAGGCGAGUGGAAUUCCUGGUGUAGCGGUGAAAUGCGCAGAUAUCAGGAGGAACACCGGUGGCGAAGGCGGCUAUCUGGACAGAAACUGACGCUGAGGCGCGAAAGCUAGGGGAGCAAACAGG
Molecule: ribosomal RNA, 253 nt
Filed under: uncultured bacterium
Lineage: Bacteria
Description: partial 16S ribosomal RNA
Rfam family: Bacterial small subunit ribosomal RNA
Source: RNAcentral